CGAAUGCUGACAUAAGUAACGAUAAAGCGGGUGAAAAGCCCGCUCGCCGGAAGACCAAGGGUUCCUGUCCAACGUUAAUCGGGGCAGGGUGAGUCGACCCCUAAGGCGAGGCCGAAAGGCGUAGUCGAUGGGAAACAGGUUAAUAUUCCUGUACUUGGUGUUACUGCGAAGGGGGGACGGAGAAGGCUAUGUUGGCCGGGCGACGGUUGUCCCGGUUUAAGCGUGUAGGCUGGUUUUCCAGGCAAAUCCGGAAAAUCAAGGCUGAGGCGUGAUGACGAGGCACUACGGUGCUGAAGCAACAAAUGCCCUGCUUCCAGGAAAAGCCUCUAAGCAUCAGGUAACAUCAAAUCGUACCCCAAACCGACACAGGUGGUCAGGUAGAGAAUACCAAGGCGCUUGAGAGAACUCGGGUGAAGGAACUAGGCAAAAUGGUGCCGUAACUUCGGGAGAAGGCACGCUGAUAUGUAGGUGAAGUCCCUCGCGGAUGGAGCUGAAAUCAGUCGAAGAUACCAGCUGGCUGCAACUGUUUAUUAAAAACACAGCACUGUGCAAACACGAAAGUGGACGUAUACGGUGUGACGCCUGCCCGGUGCCGGAAGGUUAAUUGAUGGGGUCAGCGCAAGCGAAGCUCUUGAUCGAAGCCCCGGUAAACGGCGGCCGUAACUAUAACGGUCCUAAGGUAGCGAAAUUCCUUGUCGGGUAAGUUCCGACCUGCACGAAUGGCGUAAUGAUGGCCAGGCUGUCUCCACCCGAGACUCAGUGAAAUUGAACUCGCUGUGAAGAUGCAGUGUACCCGCGGCAAGACGGAAAGACCCCGUGAACCUUUACUAUAGCUUGACACUGAACAUUGAGCCUUGAUGUGUAGGAUAGGUGGGAGGCUUUGAAGUGUGGACGCCAGUCUGCAUGGAGCCGACCUUGAAAUACCACCCUUUAAUGUUUGAUGUUCUAACGUGGACCCGUGAUCCGGGUUGCGGACAGUGUCUGGUGGGUAGUUUGACUGGGGCGGUCUCCUCCUAAAGAGUAACGGAGGAGCACGAAGGUUGGCUAAUCCUGGUCGGACAUCAGGAGGUUAGUGCAAUGGCAUAAGCCAGCUUGACUGCGAGCGUGACGGCGCGAGCAGGUGCGAAAGCAGGUCAUAGUGAUCCGGUGGUUCUGAAUGGAAGGGCCAUCGCUCAACGGAUAAAAGGUACUCCGGGGAUAACAGGCUGAUACCGCCCAAGAGUUCAUAUCGACGGCGGUGUUUGGCACCUCGAUGUCGGCUCAUCACAUCCUGGGGCUGAAGUAGGUCCCAAGGGUAUGGCUGUUCGCCAUUUAAAGUGGUACGCGAGCUGGGUUUAGAACGUCGUGAGACAGUUCGGUCCCUAUCUGCCGUGGGCGCUGGAGAACUGAGGGGGGCUGCUCCUAGUACGAGAGGACCGGAGUGGACGCAUCACUGGUGUUCGGGUUGUCAUGCCAAUGGCACUGCCCGGUAGCUAAAUGCGGAAGAGAUAAGUGCUGAAAGCAUCUAAGCACGAAACUUGCCCCGAGAUGAGUUCUCCCUGACCCUUUAAGGGUCCUGAAGGAACGUUGAAGACGACGACGU
This 1582-nucleotide ribosomal RNA is filed under the name Escherichia coli. RNAcentral describes it as "partial 23S ribosomal RNA". It matches the Rfam family "Bacterial large subunit ribosomal RNA", at positions 1291 to 2853 of the family's 2925-position model. RNAcentral also lists the same sequence under 1 other name. Lineage: Bacteria; Pseudomonadati; Pseudomonadota; Gammaproteobacteria; Enterobacterales; Enterobacteriaceae. The record is from RNAcentral.